This 888-nucleotide ribosomal RNA is filed under the name Triticum aestivum (bread wheat). RNAcentral's name for it is "partial small subunit ribosomal RNA". Lineage: Eukaryota; Viridiplantae; Streptophyta; Magnoliopsida; Poales; Poaceae. The record is from RNAcentral.
AUGAUAGGGCUACUAUUGAGUGCGCGACUAUCAUACCAGAUUAUCAUACCAGACUCGAAGUAUAGCGCAGACCGCUCCAAUGCCUACAUUUAUGUUGGUAUAAUGCUUGUUCGUUCAUAUGAACGUGUCUACACCAAGGCUGUGCUUCAUUUUGCGUGGAUUAACUGUUUCAGCAUAACAGUGUCCAAAUAUUUUGAGCACAAAAAACUACGCAUAGCAUUUCUUCACAUUAUGGCAUUGCUCUUGCUCUUCCCAGUUAUCUCGGCCUUGGUAACAUUGGAACUCUUCAUAGUUGCCGAAAAGGCCCAACUCUACAGCCAUACCGAUGUCACGAUCUCCUACAUAUUACUCCUAGGGGCCAUAACCCUUGAGGUGGCAUCUCUCUUGAUGUCCCUUCUUUCCUACUUCGCAUCAAGUGAAGCACCAACAUCUUUUCCACUUGCACCUAUAGCCUUGUGUGUAGCCAACUAUGUUCACCCCGCAGGCCGACAUAGAAAACACUGGUCCAAAAUGCUUGGACAGUAUAACAUGUUCGAAUACCACAUGGAGCGAGCUUCCACAGGCAUCAUGUCAGUUGUAUCACGGUGGAUUAAAAUGACAUUUUCAGUAAUUCCCAACAGUAAAUAUCUCAAGGAGUUUUCAAGAAUCCACGUAAGUAAAGAUCUUGAGGAGUUUGUUCUGGACAAAUUGUUAGAGUUGGGAACAGGGGAGCAAGCAGGCUGGAACUUUGCUAGCUUUCGUGGACAGCUAGCGCUUGAUAGGUGGACCGCUAUGCGCACGACCAUCGAUAGCACAGACCUGCAAACAAGUGUGCUGAUCUGGCACAUUGCAACGGAGAUAUGCUACUUGACUGAAGAAAACAACAAUGACCUAAGAAGACAAGGGUGA